RNAcentral lists this non-coding RNA (243 nucleotides) under Dufourea novaeangliae. RNAcentral describes it as "Eukaryotic small subunit ribosomal RNA". It matches the Rfam family "Eukaryotic small subunit ribosomal RNA", at positions 1050 to 1292 of the family's 1831-position model. The record is from Rfam by way of RNAcentral. Lineage: Eukaryota; Metazoa; Arthropoda; Insecta; Hymenoptera; Halictidae.
CGAUCCGCCGAAGUUCCUCCGAUGACUCGGCGGGCAGCUUCCGGGAAACCAAAGCUUUUGGGUACCGGGGGAAGUAUGGUUGUAAAGCUGAAACUUAAAGGAACUGAUGGAAGGGCACCCCCAGGAGUGGAGCCUGCGGCUUAAUUUGACUCAGCACGGGAAACCUCACCAGGCCCGGAUACCGGAAGGAUUGACAGAUUGAUAGCUCUUUCUUGAUUCGGUGGGUGGUGGUGCAUGGCCGUU